UUGUGUGUUCAAGUUUUUAAGGGCAUACGGUGGAUGCCUUGGCAUCAGGAGCCGAUGAAGGACGUGGGAGCCUGCGAUAUGCCUCGGGGAGUCGGCAACC
Molecule: ribosomal RNA, 100 nt
Filed under: Actinomadura geliboluensis
Lineage: Bacteria; Bacillati; Actinomycetota; Actinomycetes; Streptosporangiales; Thermomonosporaceae
Description: partial 23S ribosomal RNA
Rfam family: Bacterial large subunit ribosomal RNA
Source: RNAcentral